ACGCUCGACACCUACGGGAGUCAGCAGUGGGGAAUAUUGGGCAAUGGGCGCAAGCCUGACCCAGCAACGCCGCGUGAAGGAAGAAGGCCCUCGGGUUGUAAACUUCUUUUAUCAGGGACGAAGCAAGUGACGGUACCUGAUGAAUAAGCCACGGCUAACUACGUGCCAGCAGCCGCGGUAAUCUGAGCGGGCUGGCAAGGC
Molecule: ribosomal RNA, 201 nt
Filed under: uncultured bacterium
Lineage: Bacteria
Description: partial 16S ribosomal RNA
Rfam family: Bacterial small subunit ribosomal RNA
Source: RNAcentral